This 268-nucleotide ribosomal RNA is filed under the name uncultured bacterium. RNAcentral's name for it is "partial 16S ribosomal RNA". It matches the Rfam family "Bacterial small subunit ribosomal RNA", at positions 793 to 1055 of the family's 1533-position model. The record is from RNAcentral.
GUCCUGGCAGUAAACGGUGCGCGUUUGGUGUGGGAGGAUUCGACCCCUUCUGUGCCGGAGCUAACGCGUUAAACGCGCCGCCUGGGGAGUACGGUCGCAAGAUUAAAACUCAAAGAAAUUGACGGGGGCCCCGCACAAGCGGUGGAGUAUGUGGCUUAAUUCGAUGCAACGCGAAGAACCUUACCUAGCCUUGACAUGCAUCUCUAAGUCGGUGAAAGCCGGCGACUGUAGCAAUACAGAAUUUGCACAGGUGCUGCAUGGCUGUCGU